GAUGAACGCUGGCUACAGGCUUAACACAUGCCAGUCGAGGGGAAACGCCGGGGAAGCUUGCUUCCCCGGGCGUCGACCGGCGCACGGGUGAGUAACGCGUAUCCAACCUGCCUCUGACUGAGGGAUAACCCGUCGAAAGUCGGCCUAAUACCUCAUGGUAUCGUCUGCGGGCAUCCAACGACGAUUAAAGAUUUCAUCGGUCAGGGAUGGGGAUGCGUCUGAUUAGCUUGUUGGCGGGGUAACGGCCCACCAAGGCUACGAUCAGUAGGGGUUCUGAGAGGAAGGUCCCCCACAUUGGAACUGAGACACGGUCCAAACUCCUACGGGAGGCAGCAGUGAGGAAUAUUGGUCAAUGGGCGAGAGCCUGAACCAGCCAAGUAGCGUGCAGGAAGACGGCCCUAUGGGUUGUAAACUGCUUUUAUGCGGGGAUAAAGUGAGGGACGUGUCCCUCAUUGCAGGUACCGCAUGAAUAAGGACCGGCUAAUUCCGUG
RNAcentral lists this ribosomal RNA (491 nucleotides) under uncultured bacterium. Its description in RNAcentral is "partial 16S ribosomal RNA". It matches the Rfam family "Bacterial small subunit ribosomal RNA", at positions 28 to 507 of the family's 1533-position model. The record is from RNAcentral.